GGGAUAGCCUCGGGAAACUGGGAUUAAUACCCCAUAACACUUAUUUUUCGCAUGGAAGAUAAGUCAAAACUCCGGUGGUAUAGGAUGGUCCCGCGUCCCAUUAGUUAGUUGGUGAGGUAAAGGCUCACCAAGGCGACGAUGGGUAGCCGGCCUGAGAGGGUGAACGGCCACACUGGAACUGAGACACGGUCCAGACUCCUACGGGAGGCAGCAGUGGGGAAUAUUGCACAAUGGGCGAAAGCCUGAUGCAGCGACGCCGCGUGAGCGAUGAAGGCCUUCGGGUCGUAAAGCUCUGUCCUAAGGGAAGAAUAAUGACGGUACCUUAGGAGGAAGCCCCGGCUAACUACGUGCCAGCAGCCGCGGUAAUACGUAGGGGGCGAGCGUUGUCCGGAAUUACUGGGCGUAAAGGGAGCGUAGGCGGCCCUAUAAGUCAGAAGUCAAAGCCCUCGGCUCAACCGAGGUAAGCUUUUGAAACUGUAGGGCUUGAGUGCAGGAGAGGAGAGUGGAAUUCCUAGUGUAGCGGUGAAAUGCGUAGAUAUUAGGAGGAACACCAGUGGCGAAGGCGACUCUCUGGACUGUAACUGACGCUGAGGCUCGAAAGCGUGGGGAGCAAACAGGAUUAGAUACCCUGGUAGUCCACGCUGUAAACGAUGAGUGCUAGGUGUUGGAAUCGCCAGAUUUCAGUGCCGCAGUUAACACAUUAAGCACUCCGCCUGGGGAGUACGAUCGCAAGAUUGAAACUCAAAGGAAUUGACGGGGGCCCGCACAAGCAGCGGAGCAUGUGGUUUAAUUCGAAGCAACGCGAAGAACCUUACCAGGGCUUGACAUCCCUCAGACAGACCUAGAGAUAGGUUUUCCCUUCGGGGCUGAGGUGACAGGUGGUGCAUGGUUGUCGUCAGCUCGUGUCGUGAGAUGUUGGGUUAAGUCCCGCAACGAGCGCAACCCUUGCCUUUAGUUGCCAGUAUUAAGUUGGGCACUCUAGAGGGACUGCCGGUGACAAACCGGAGGAAGGUGGGGAUGACGUCAAAUCAUCAUGCCCCUUAUGUCCUGGGCUACACACGUGCUACAAUGGCCGGUACAACGGGCAGCCAACCCGCAAGGGGGAGCUAAUCCCAAUAAGCCGGUCCCAGUUCGGAUUGUGGGCUGCAACUCGCCCACAUGAAGUUGGAGUUGCUAGUAAUCGUGAAUCAGAAUGUCGCGGUGAAUGCGUUCCCGGGCCUUGUACACACCGCCCGUCACACCAUGGGAGUUAGUAAUACCCGAAGCCGUCGAGCUAACCAUUGGAGGCAGACGUCGAGGGUAGGACCA
This 1308-nucleotide ribosomal RNA is filed under the name uncultured organism. RNAcentral describes it as "partial 16S ribosomal RNA". It matches the Rfam family "Bacterial small subunit ribosomal RNA", at positions 140 to 1470 of the family's 1533-position model. The record is from RNAcentral.